Molecule: ribosomal RNA, 488 nt
Filed under: uncultured bacterium
Lineage: Bacteria
Description: partial 16S rRNA
Source: RNAcentral
GCACGGAGUUAGCCGGUGCUUCCUUUGGAGGUACCGUCACCCGCGAUUCAUCAUCGCGUAUUCGUUCCUCCCGACAGUGGUUUACAACCCGAAGGCCGUCAUCCCACACGCGGCGUCGCUGCGUCAGCCUUGCGGCCAUUGCGCAAGAUUCCCCACUGCUGCCUCCCGUAGGAGUCUGGGCCGUGUCUCAGUCCCAAUGUGGCUGGCCAUCCUCUCAGACCAGCUACCCGUCGUCGCCUUGGUGGGCCGUUACCCCGCCAACUAGCUGAUAGGCCGCGAGACCCUCCGCCGGCGCAACUUGCGUUGCUUUCAUCAUUCAGGGAUGCCCCUAAAUGAUCGUACGCGGUAUUAACCGGCCGUUGGGCCGACUAUCCCCCACCGAUGGACAGGUUUCUCACGUGUUACGCACCCGUCUGCCACUGAACUCGAGAGUUGCCCCCCGAGUCCCGUUCGACUUACAUGUGUUAGGCACGCCGCCAGCGUUCGUC